Molecule: ribosomal RNA, 292 nt
Filed under: uncultured bacterium
Lineage: Bacteria
Description: partial 16S ribosomal RNA
Rfam family: Bacterial small subunit ribosomal RNA
Source: RNAcentral
GUGUCAGCAGCCGCGGUAAUACAGAGGUCCCAAGCGUUGUUCGGAUUCACUGGGCGUAAAGGGUGCGUAGGUGGUGGGGUAAGUCGGAUGUGAAAUCUCCGAGCUCAACUCGGAAAUGGCAUUGGAAACUACCCUGCUAGAGGGUCGGAGGGGGGACUGGAAUACUUGGUGUAGCAGUGAAAUGCGUAGAUAUCAAGUGGAACACCAGUGGCGAAGGCGAGUCCCUGGACGACUCCUGACACUGAGGCACGAAAGCUAGGGGAGCAAACAGGAUUAGAAACCCCAGUAGUCC